GACGAACGCUGGCGGCGUGCCUAAUACAUGCAAGUAGAACGCUGAAGGAGGAGCUUGCUUCUCCGGAUGAGUUGCGAACGGGUGAGUAACGCGUAGGUAACCUGCCUGGUAGCGGGGGAUAACUAUUGGAAACGAUAGCUAAUACCGCAUAACAGUAGAUAUUGCAUGAUAUCUGCUUGAAAGGUGCAAUUGCAUCACUACCAGAUGGACCUGCGUUGUAUUAGCUAGUUGGUGGGGUAACGGCUCACCAAGGCGACGAUACAUAGCCGACCUGAGAGGGGGGUCGGCCACACUGGGAAUGAGACACGGCCCAGACUCCUACGGGAGGCAGCAGUAGGGAAUCUUCGGCAAUGGACGGAAGUCUGACCGAGCAACGCCGCGUGAGUGAAGAAGGUUUUCGGAUCGUAAAGCUCUGUUGUAAGAGAAGAACGAGUGUGAGAGUGGAAAGUUCACACUGUGACGGUAUCUUACCAGAAAGGGACGGCUAACUACGUG
This 495-nucleotide ribosomal RNA is filed under the name uncultured bacterium. RNAcentral describes it as "partial 16S ribosomal RNA". It matches the Rfam family "Bacterial small subunit ribosomal RNA", at positions 28 to 507 of the family's 1533-position model. The record is from RNAcentral.